ACGGCUCAGUAACACGUGGAUAACCUGCCCAAGGGUCCGGGAUAACCCCGGGAAACUGGGGAUAAUACCGGAUGGAUCACUAGUGCUGGAAUGCUUGGUGGUCGAAAGGUAACGCCUUUGGAUGGGUCUGCGGCGGAUUAGGUUGACGCCGGUGUAACGUACCGGCGUGCCUGUAAUCCGUACGGGUUGUGGGAGCAAGAGCCCGGAGAUGGAUUCUGAGACACGAAUCCAGGCCCUACGGGGCGCAGCAGGCGCGAAAACUCUACAAUGCAGGCAACUGCGAUAGGGGGACAUCGAGUGGCAUCCACCUUGGGUGCCUGUCCAACCGUCUAAAAAACGGUUGUUAGCAAGGGCCGGGUAAGACCGGUGCCAGCCGCCGCGGUAAUACCGGCGGCUCGAGUGGUGGCCGAUAUUAUUGAGUCUAAAGGGUCCGUAGUCGGCUUUGCAAGUCUCUCGGGAAAUCCAGCGGCUUAACCGUUGGUCGUCCGGGGGGUACUACAUUGCUUGGGACUGGGAGAGGUAGGAGGUACUCAGGGGGUAGGAGUGAAAUCCUGUAAUCCUUUGGGGACCACCGGUGGCGAAGGCGUCCUACCAGAACAGGUCCGACGGUGAGGGACGAAAGCUAGGGGCACGAACCGGAUUAGAUACCCGGGUAGUCCUAGCCGUAAACGAUGCUCGCUAGGUGUCACAACAGUCGUGAAUUGUUGUGGUGCCGUAGGGAAGCCGUGAAGCGAGCCACUUGGGAAGUACGACCGCAAGGUUGAAACUUAAAGGAAUUGGCGGGGGAG
RNAcentral lists this ribosomal RNA (788 nucleotides) under uncultured archaeon. RNAcentral's name for it is "bacterial SSU rRNA". It matches the Rfam family "Archaeal small subunit ribosomal RNA", at positions 85 to 876 of the family's 1478-position model. The record is from RNAcentral.